This is a non-coding RNA of Microcebus murinus (gray mouse lemur), 809 nucleotides long. The record is from RefSeq and is a predicted model, not a curated record. NCBI's taxonomy places the organism in Eukaryota, Metazoa, Chordata, Mammalia, Primates, Cheirogaleidae.
UGCCGUGAGGCUGAGACCGAGCCGGUCAGCCGGGCGGCGGGCGCCGGGGCUGGAGGGGCGCGCGGCGGGGGCGGUGGCCCGGCGUGUAGGCGCAGAGGCGGCCAUGGCGGGCAGCUUCCAUUCGGAGGAGCGGAGUAGCUGGUACGGGGGGCGGUUGAGCCGGCAGGAGGCAGUGGUGCUGUUGCAGGGCCAGCGGCACGGGGUGUUCCUGGUGCGGGACUCGAGCACCAGCCCCGGGGACUACGUGCUCAGCGUCUCCGAGGACUCGCGCGUCUCCCACUACAUCACCAGCAGUAGCGGGCCGCGCCCGCCGGUGCCCCCGUCGCCCGCCCAGUCUCCGCCCGCGGUGAGCCCCUCCAGACUCCGAAUAGGAGAUCGAGAGUUUGAUCCAUUGCCUGAUUUACUGGAAUCCUACAAAACACACUAUUUGGACACUACAACGUUGAUAGAACCAGUUUCCAGAUCCAGGCAGGGCAGUGGAGUGAUUCUCGGGCAGGCGGAGGCAGAGUAUGUGCGAGCCCUCUUUGACUUUAAUGGGAAUGAUGAAGAAGGUCUUCCCUUUAAGAAAGGAGGCAUCCCGAGCAUCCGAGAUGAGCCUCAAGAGCGGUGGUGGAAUGCAGAGGACAGCGAAGGCAAGAGGGGGUGAUUCCAAUCCCUUACGUCGAGAAGUGUAGACCCGCCUCCGCCUCAGUGCCGGCUGCGAUUGGAGGUCGGUGAGCUGGUGAAGGUUACGAAGAUCAAUGUGAGCGGUCAGUGGGAAGGGGAGUGUGAUGGCAAACGAGGUCACUUCCCAUUCACACAUGUCCGUC